UACAGAGGCCUCGAGCGUUAGGCGGAAUCACUGGGCUUAAAGCGUGUGUAGGUGGAUGCCUAAGUACCUUGUGAAAUCCCACAGCUUAACUGUGGAAUGGCUGGGUAUACUGGGCGUCUUGAGCCACUCAGGGGCUACCGGAACAAGCGGUGGAGCGGUGAAAUGCGUAGAUAUCGCUUGGAACGCCAAUGGUGAAAACAGGUAGCUGGGGGUGUGCUGACACUGAGACACGAAAGCCAGGGGAGCGAACGGG
Molecule: ribosomal RNA, 253 nt
Filed under: uncultured bacterium
Lineage: Bacteria
Description: partial 16S ribosomal RNA
Rfam family: Bacterial small subunit ribosomal RNA
Source: RNAcentral